CCUCCAGGAUACAUUCUGUGCUUUAAACAAUUGGAGAGGACUUACUGUACCGAGCGCUGUCGCUUGCCUCUCUAUGUUGAAGAUUGACGUCCGUCGCCUUGUUCUAGGUUGAAAGGACGCCGAUAUAUUUGGACUAGUCUGGAUCCUUGAAAACGUUGCUCUCCUCUUUUCUAUUGAUGCGGAUGAUGGUAUUUGAUUUGCUUGAUGACCCAACGAACCAGCAGUGGGAUGUUUUUCCACGGCGCCGAUCUUCAGGAAAACGGAGUAAAACGCGAACGCGAUCAACUGAACGCGAAAGACCCGCUAUUCCCGGAUAG
Molecule: long non-coding RNA, 317 nt
Organism: Pieris brassicae (large cabbage white)
Lineage: Eukaryota; Metazoa; Arthropoda; Insecta; Lepidoptera; Pieridae
Exons: 2
Source: RefSeq, a predicted model, not a curated record